AGUAUCCAUUGGAGGGCAAGUCUGGUGCCAGCAGCCGCGGUAAUUCCAGCUCCAAUAGCGUAUAUUAAAGUUGUUGCGGUUAAAAAGCUCGUAGUUGGAUUUGUGUCCCACGCUGUCGGUUCACCGCUCGUCGGUGUCUAACUGGCAUGGUUCGUGGGACGUCCUGCCGGUGGUGGCGAGUCGAAAGCGUGCGCCCGUCGCGGUCUCUCCGCUUGCGGUUCUUGCGCGCCGUAGACGGACCCCGAUGAAAUCCUACCGCGGUGCUCUUCGCCGAGUGUCGAGGUGGGCCGGCACGUUUACUUUGAACAAAUUAGAGUGCUUAAAGCAGGCCUGUUGCGCCUGAAUACUGUGUGCAUGGAAUAAUGGAAUAGGACCUCGGUUCUAUUUUGUUGGUUUUCGGAACCCGAGGUAAUGAUUAAUAGGGACAGGCGGGGGCAUUCGUAUUGCGACGUUAGAGGUGAAAUUCUUGGAUCGUCGCAAGACGAACCGAAGCGAAAGCAUUUGCCAAGUAUGUUUUCAUUAAUCAAGAACGAAAGUUAGAGGUUCGAAGGCGAUCAGAUACCGCCCUAGUUCUAACCAUAAACGAUGCCAGCUAGCGAUCCGCCGAAGUUCCUCCGAUGACUCGGCGGGCAGCUCCCGGGAAACCAAAGCUUUUGGGUUCCGGGGGAAGUAUGGUUGCAAAGCUGAAACUUAAAGGAAUUGACGGAAGGGCACCACCAGGAGUGGAGCCUGCGGCUUAAUUUGACUCAACACGGGAAACCUCACCAGGCCCGGACACCGGAAGGAUUGACAGAUUGAGAGCUCUUUCUGAUUCGUGG
This 818-nucleotide ribosomal RNA is filed under the name Saga hellenica. RNAcentral describes it as "SSU rRNA". It matches the Rfam family "Eukaryotic small subunit ribosomal RNA", at positions 540 to 1272 of the family's 1831-position model. Lineage: Eukaryota; Metazoa; Arthropoda; Insecta; Orthoptera; Tettigoniidae. The record is from RNAcentral.